Long non-coding RNA from Erinaceus europaeus (western European hedgehog), 711 nucleotides. RefSeq lists it as uncharacterized. NCBI's taxonomy places the organism in Eukaryota, Metazoa, Chordata, Mammalia, Eulipotyphla, Erinaceidae. The record is from RefSeq and is a predicted model, not a curated record. The transcript is spliced from 3 exons.
CUGGGGCCCAGUGGUGGUGCACACAAUUGAGAGCACAUAUUACAAUGCUCAAGGAUCUGGGUUCAAGCCCUGGUCUCCAGUUGCAGUGAGGGGAGCUUCACAAGCAGUGGAGAAAGACUGCAGUGUGAACUGAUGACAAUACCUAUCUUAUUGGGCUCUUGUGAGGAUCAGGACUCCCUACCUUGUUCACGGCUGUGUCCCUGGGUGGAGGGCAGAUGCUCGGCAUUUGCAAGAUCCUGGAAUGACUCUGGAUGCCUGGCCUGCACUUGCACUUUACUCUGUCAUCUCAGCUGUUAUCUCAUCGGAUCCUUGCGCUAGUCCUGAGAGGUAGGUCUGCUAACCCCAUUUCACAGAUGAGGAAAUUGCGGCUCAGAGAGGAAGUGACUCGCCCAGGGUCAAAGAGCUACAACCCCAGAUCUGAAGCUGCAAAUGACUCUAGCUCUGCAGCCCACAGAGAGGAUAGUGGGGAAAUAGUAGGAACCCUGGUUGAUAGAGCCUCCUACCCCCAUGACCUGCUUCUGAGGAGCACAGAAGUCUUCUGAAGUGGUCAGGAUGGAUGGUAUUAUUGGCUUCAGGGGAGAGAGUCACAGCUUCUAAGACAGACCAUGGAACCCUCAGGAGCUUCUUUUUUAAAUGUUUCCUUUUAUCUUUUUUUUUUUUUCUUCCAAUUUUAAAAAAAAUGUAUAGGACAAAGAGAAAUGGGGGGGAGAU